This 458-nucleotide ribosomal RNA is filed under the name uncultured bacterium. RNAcentral describes it as "bacterial SSU rRNA". It matches the Rfam family "Bacterial small subunit ribosomal RNA", at positions 346 to 796 of the family's 1533-position model. The record is from RNAcentral.
AGGCAGCAGUAAGGAAUCUUCCGCAAUGGACGAAAGUCCGACGGAGCAACGCCGCGUGAGCGAAGAAGGCCUUCGGGUCGUAAAGCUCUGUUGUUAGGGAAGAACAAGUAACGCAGUAACUGGCGUUACCUUGACGGUACCUAACGAGAAAGCCACGGCUAACUACGUGCCAGCAGCCGCGGUAAUACGUAGGUGGCAAGCGUUGUCCGGAAUUAUUGGGCGUAAAGCGCGCGCAGGCGGUUCCUUAAGUCUGAUGUGAAAGCCCACGGCUCAACCGUGGAGGGUCAUUGGAAACUGAGGGACUUGAGUGCAGAAGAGGAGAGCGGAAUUCCACGUGUAGCGGUGAAAUGCGUAGAGAUGUGGAGGAACACCAGUGGCGAAGGCGGCUCUCUGGUCUGUAACUGACGCUGAGGCGCGAAAGCGUGGGGAGCAAACAGGAUUAGAUACCCCAGUAGUCC